Bubalus bubalis (water buffalo) is the source of this 632-nucleotide long non-coding RNA. RefSeq lists it as uncharacterized. The transcript has 2 exons. The record is from RefSeq and is a predicted model, not a curated record. NCBI's taxonomy places the organism in Eukaryota, Metazoa, Chordata, Mammalia, Artiodactyla, Bovidae.
CUCCACAAGGCCCUUCUCCUUCCCUCCAGGCUGAACCAGGCUUGUAGAAGUGCACAUUAUCUUGGGACUGCAAAUCACCAAGGGUAGGGAAAGGGCAGGUGGAUGCUGAAGGCAGUGGAGGUCUCUAGCACAAGGAACUCGUAAGAAUCCCCAAAAUCCAAUGCUUUUGUCUGCGGUUCGUCUUUCCUAGCAGGACACUGGCUGAUUAUAGAUUACUGACUACACUGACUGAUCGCACAUUUAGUAUGAAUGUGGACUGGAGCUGCAGCCACCAGCCCUGGGCUCCAUGCAAAUGACAAUAAUCCAGCCCAUCAGAAGCAAGGCUCAGAUACCCCUGGAUGGAAGCCAGAUGAGGCCUCUGCCACGUCCCACCUGUGCGACCUUGGACAGGUGAGGCCAGAUUUCCUCCAGCUAUUUUGACCAAAACAAAAAACUGCAACAGAUUGAAUGAAGAAGCAGAUAAAAGAAGCCAGCUGUCUUCUACUAAGAUUUGUAAAAACAAUGCCACUCUUCUUACUAAAAUGUUUUGUUUUAGAAAACAGAAUUAUUUUUCCCCAAAAUGUUACUUAUAUUGACUUGUAAGAGUAUGCUAUUGUUAAGUCAAGAAAUAAAUAAAUCUUUCCAAUAUCUCA